Molecule: long non-coding RNA, 451 nt
Organism: Acomys russatus (golden spiny mouse)
Lineage: Eukaryota; Metazoa; Chordata; Mammalia; Rodentia; Muridae
Exons: 3
Source: RefSeq, a predicted model, not a curated record
UCCAUCAGUCUCUGCCUCCCCAGUGCUGGGAUUAAGGUGUGCACCACCACACCUGGCAAAAAAUAUUCUUUUAUCAUAACAAAAGUAAUUUUUUGUUUGCUUGGUUUCUAUGAGACAGGGUUUCUCUGUGUAGCUCUGGCUAUCCUGGACCUCAUUCUGAAGAACAGAGUGGCCUCAAACUCAGAGAUCUGUCUCCAGAGUGCUGAAAUUGAAGGUUAGUUCAAGCUUAUCCACUGUGCAAUAUCUGCCUCUUCAGGAUAUUUGCUUUGGAAGAGACAACUCAUGGCAGAAGAACUAUGACUAAAUAGUGUGUUUGCUAAGAGCAACCAAUCUGAAUUGGCAUUAAAGUAUGAGAACGAUUAUCUAUUCGACUUCUAAUUAAUAAAAGUGAUUUGGGAAAGAAAAGAGUACUCAAAGCUCAUCUUUACAAAGUAGCCUAAUGCCUUUUAAA